This is a long non-coding RNA of Mytilus californianus (California mussel), 643 nucleotides long. RefSeq lists it as uncharacterized. Lineage: Eukaryota; Metazoa; Mollusca; Bivalvia; Mytilida; Mytilidae. The transcript is spliced from 3 exons. The record is from RefSeq and is a predicted model, not a curated record.
AAUGUAUAGAAAAAUUCAUGUUAAAAGAAAAGAGGAAGAGAAAUUAAUACGAUAAAUUCCGUUUAAAAAUCCCCUUCUUUUACACAGAAUUCUUACCUGAGUUUAUUACCUACUAUAGAUUGAAAAUGACAUAAAACUGAAUGGACAUGGAGAGUUAAAAAGAAAGUGAUGAUAAACUGGCUACCCAGGAAUUGGAUCAAAUAACAAAAUUGGUUGCACAGAAAUUGCGUUUUAGUAAUGUCCGUUUAAAGAAUUUGCAUGAAAAUAAACUUGAAGAUACAACCCAAAAUGAAGAGGGAUUGAACUACAUUUCGAGGAAAAUAGAGGAAACUGCAGCUGGUAUUAUUAAAUUUACAAUUCAAACAGCAGAAUUACAUAACAACAUGCAACAAUGGAGAGAGCUUGCAAAUAUGCCUACUAAACGUGAGGCAACGGGAAGAAACAAUGUUCAAGCCACAGACAGCGAAAUUGACAGUUCAAUUUACAGUGGCACUUCCAUGGUUAUGGACAGUAAUGACUUUACUGGAAUACAAGAUACAAAUAUCCACACCAAUCUAGUUCAUUCAUUACCUCUGAGGCAAGUUUUAAUACAUAUUAACUACAGGGGCUCUUAUAUUACAACUUAUUUGCAAGUACACGGGGG